This 1298-nucleotide long non-coding RNA is filed under the name Macaca mulatta (Rhesus monkey). RNAcentral describes it as "lncRNA (ENSMMUG00000057573.1)". Lineage: Eukaryota; Metazoa; Chordata; Mammalia; Primates; Cercopithecidae. The record is from RNAcentral.
CACUAAGAUCAACUUUAAACCCUUCUCUGCCUUGACAUGGUACCAGAGGAAUCUACAUGAACAAGGUUUAUUAAUUGCUUUUCUCUGCCAUUCCUUUACCUUCCCACAGUUGCUAGCCCUAGAGACUCAAAGUCCUUUUCUUUUGUCUUGUCACCACCUCUUUGAACAUUACUUAUUUCCCUUGCAUCAUCUGUGUAUAUAUGAGAUAUACGUAUUAAUACACUUCUGUUUCUUUUUCUCUUGUUAAUCUCUUGCAAGGAUUCUUUCCAACUAAAUGUAUGAGGAACGAAGAAAAGAUUACGUUUCUUCUCCUUCAUCUUGUGUUAUUGAUAAAUGAUUACAACUAAUUGGUUGUUAGUUUAUUGACGGCAGAGAUUUUCUUAUUUAUGUCAAAUUCUCUAUUCCUAGCAGGAUACUUGAAAAGACCUGGCACUCAGUGCAUAUGGGAAGUACGAGGGGUGAAAAGAAGGGAGGACUCAGAACCCGAGACCUGCUGAAGGAAUCUGACCUGACACCCUCUACCAGAACCAAUGAUGAAGACUCUCCUGUAUCACCACGUUCAGGGAGGUGGCUCUGUGGCAAAGAGGGGCAGCCUCGGAAGAUGCGUCUUAGGAGUGUGUAUAGGAUUAGCUAUUGUCCUCUGUGGCUGCUUUACAUCAUCUUACAAGGAAUACUGCACCUGGAAAAGAAGAAUGCACCGGAUCUGAAUUUGACGUGGAUGUAAUCAAGUGCUGCUAGCUGAACAUUCUUUAAGGAUCUGACCGUUCACAUCUAAGUGCAACCUUUAGCUAGAGAGAAGUAGGCCCACUCCAUCCAUUCAAUGACAGUUACCAGCUUUCCUGAAGAAGCAAGAUGCAACAGGUGAUUUUGACUCAGUGCACACUAUUUUCAGGGUAAGAGUUAAUUUGUGUUACCAAAUGCUAUAUUCCAUCUAUCACUUCCCUGACUACAUAAGCCCAGAGGAGUCUUACAUGUGAGACUUUUGUUUGUUUGUUUAGUGGCCCAGACCAAUAUUUGAAAUAGAGAUACUUUGUUCAAUUCAAAUGUGUGGGAAGCACGUAACCAGCCUUCACUGAGUGCCUGUACAAUAAGUUAAGGCUUCACACUGUUGGCAGUUGAUAUGGUUUGACUGUGUCCCCACCCAAAUCUCAUCUUCAAUUGUGACUUCCAUAAUGUCCACCUGUCUUGGGAGGAACCCAGUGGGAGGUAAUUGAAUCAUGACGGCAAGUUUUUCCCAUUCUGUUCUCGUGAUAGGAACCCAGUGGGAGGUAAUUGAAUCACGAGGGCAAGUGUUUCCC